RNAcentral lists this ribosomal RNA (492 nucleotides) under uncultured bacterium. Its description in RNAcentral is "partial 16S ribosomal RNA". It matches the Rfam family "Bacterial small subunit ribosomal RNA", at positions 29 to 507 of the family's 1533-position model. The record is from RNAcentral.
AGUGAACGCUGGCGGUAGGCCUAACACAUGCAAGUCGAACGGCAGCACAGUAAGAGCUUGCUCUUACGGGUGGCGAGUGGCGGACGGGUGAGGAAUACAUCGGAAUCUACUUUUUCGUGGGGGAUAACGUAGGGAAACUUACGCUAAUACCGCAUACGACCUACGGGUGAAAGCAGGGGAUCUUCGGACCUUGCGCGAUUGAAUGAGCCGAUGUCGGAUUAGCUAGUUGGCGGGGUAAAGGCCCACCAAGGCGACGAUCCGUAGCUGGUCUGAGAGGAUGAUCCGCCACACUGGAACUGAGACACGGUCCAGACUCCUACGGGAGGCAGCAGUGGGGAAUAUUGGACAAUGGGCGCAAGCCUGAUCCAGCCAUACCGCGUGGGUGAAGAGGGCCUUCGGGUUGUAAAGCCCUUUUGUUGGGAAAGAAAAGCAGCAGGUUAAUACCCCGCUGUUCUGACGGUACCCAAAGAAUAAGCACCGGCUAACUUCGUG